RNAcentral lists this ribosomal RNA (468 nucleotides) under uncultured bacterium. Its description in RNAcentral is "partial 16S ribosomal RNA". It matches the Rfam family "Bacterial small subunit ribosomal RNA", at positions 28 to 507 of the family's 1533-position model. The record is from RNAcentral.
GACGAACGCUGGCGGCGUGCUUAACACAUGCAAGUCGAACGGAAAGGCCCUGCUUUUGUGGGGUGCUCGAGUGGCGAACGGGUGAGUAACACGUGAGUAACCUGCCCUUGACUUUGGGAUAACUUCAGGAAACUGGGGCUAAUACCGGAUAGGAGCUCCUGCUGCAUGGUGGGGGUUGGAAAGUUUCGGCGGUUGGGGAUGGACUCGCGGCUUAUCAGCUUGUUGGUGGGGUAGUGGCUUACCAAGGCUUUGACGGGUAGCCGGCCUGAGAGGGUGACCGGCCACAUUGGGACUGAGAUACGGCCCAGACUCCUACGGGAGGCAGCAGUGGGGAAUAUUGCACAAUGGGCGGAAGCCUGAUGCAGCAACGCCGCGUGCGGGAUGACGGCCUUCGGGUUGUAAACCGCUUUCGCCUGUGACGAAGCGUGAGAAACGGUAAUGGGUAAAGAAGCACCGGCUAACUACGUG